MRKUCGCCCUUAGAGUUUGAUCCUGGCUCAGAACGAACGCUGGCGGCGUGCUUAACACAUGCAAGUCGAACGUGAUYCAGAGCUUGCUCUGRUGAAAGUGGCGCACGGGUGAGUAACGCGUGGAUAACCUGCCCUGGUAUCUGGGAUAACAUCUCGAAAGGGGUGCUAAUACCGGAUAAGCCYACGGGWUCUUCGGAWUCUGCRGGAAAAGRAGGCCUCUAUUUAUAAGCUWCCGUAUCAKGAUGGGUCCGCGUACCAUUAGCUAGUUGGUGGGGUAAUGGCCUACCAAGGCGACGAUGGUUAGCUGGUCUGAGAGGAUGAUCAGCCACACUGGAACUGAGACACGGUCCAGACUCCUACGGGAGGCAGCAGUGGGGAAUUUUGCGCAAUGGGGGAAACCCUGACGCAGCAACGCCGCGUGAGUGAUGAAGGCUUUCGGGUCGUAAAGCUCUGUCAGAGGGGAAGAAAUGAAACGUGCUAAUAUCACGUUUUCUUGACGGUACCCUCAAAGGAAGCACCGGCUAACUCCGUGCCAGCAGCCGCGGUAAUAC
RNAcentral lists this ribosomal RNA (551 nucleotides) under uncultured Geobacteraceae bacterium. RNAcentral's name for it is "bacterial SSU rRNA". It matches the Rfam family "Bacterial small subunit ribosomal RNA", at positions 1 to 526 of the family's 1533-position model. The record is from RNAcentral. Lineage: Bacteria; Pseudomonadati; Thermodesulfobacteriota; Desulfuromonadia; Geobacterales; Geobacteraceae.